CCUACGGGACGCAGCAGUGGGGAAUAUUGGACAAUGGGCGAAAGCCUGAUCCAGCCAUGCCGCGUGUGUGAAGAAGGCCUUCGGGUUGUAAAGCACUUUCAGUGGGGAAGAAAGCCUUGGGGCUAAUACCCUCGAGGAAGGACAUCACCCACAGAAGAAGCACCGGCUAACUCCGUGCCAGCAGCCGCGGUAAUACGGAGGGUGCGAGCGUUAAUCGGAAUUACUGGGCGUAAAGCGCGCGUAGGCGGUCUGAUAAGCCGGUUGUGAAAGCCCCGGGCUCAACCUGGGAACGGCAUCCGGAACUGGCAGGCUAGAGUGCAGGAGAGGAAGGUAGAAUUCCCGGUGUAGCGGUGAAAUGCGUAGAGAUCGGGAAGAAUACCAGUGGCGAAGGCGGCCUGCUGGACUGACACUGACGCUGAGGUGCGAAAGCGUGGGUAGCAAACAGGAUUAGAUACCCUAGUAGUC
RNAcentral lists this ribosomal RNA (465 nucleotides) under Vreelandella stevensii. RNAcentral's name for it is "partial 16S ribosomal RNA". It matches the Rfam family "Bacterial small subunit ribosomal RNA", at positions 338 to 795 of the family's 1533-position model. The record is from RNAcentral. Lineage: Bacteria; Pseudomonadati; Pseudomonadota; Gammaproteobacteria; Oceanospirillales; Halomonadaceae.